Molecule: non-coding RNA, 31 nt
Filed under: Rattus norvegicus (Norway rat)
Lineage: Eukaryota; Metazoa; Chordata; Mammalia; Rodentia; Muridae
Source: RNAcentral
UGAGUCGAAUCACAGAUGAAAGCCUUGCUGG